This 164-nucleotide ribosomal RNA is filed under the name uncultured bacterium. RNAcentral describes it as "partial 16S ribosomal RNA". It matches the Rfam family "Bacterial small subunit ribosomal RNA", at positions 355 to 509 of the family's 1533-position model. The record is from RNAcentral.
UGGGGAAGUCUUCCGCAAUGGGCGCAAGCCUGACGGAGCAACGCCGCGUGAAUGAAGAAGGUCUUCGGAUCGUAAAGUUCUGUUCUUAGGGAAGAAGUCUUAGGUUGUGAAUAAUGACUUAAGGUGACGGUACCUAUGGAGAAAGCUCCGGCUAACUACGUGCC